Long non-coding RNA from Oncorhynchus keta (chum salmon), 328 nucleotides. RefSeq lists it as uncharacterized. The transcript is spliced from 4 exons. The record is from RefSeq and is a predicted model, not a curated record. Lineage: Eukaryota; Metazoa; Chordata; Actinopteri; Salmoniformes; Salmonidae.
GGGAGGAGAAGAGAGGGAAGGAGGAGAGAAGAAUAGAGGGAUACAGGAGAGGGAAGGAGGAAGAGGGGCCAAAGUAGUUUUGAGCAAAUUGUCAAGAUGAGUCAUUGUAUUAUCGUUUAAUAAACUUCAAGGAAUCUCUAGCUAACAGGCAACCUCUAGCUAACAGGUAACCUCUAGCUAACAGGUAACCUCUAGCUAACAGGUAACCUCUAGCUAACAGGCAACCUCUAGCUAACAGGUAACAGGCAACCUCUAGCUAACAGGUAACAGGCAACCUCUAGCUAACAGGUAACAGGCAACCUCUAGCUAACAGGUAACAGGCAACCUC